RNAcentral lists this ribosomal RNA (469 nucleotides) under uncultured bacterium. RNAcentral's name for it is "partial 16S ribosomal RNA". It matches the Rfam family "Bacterial small subunit ribosomal RNA", at positions 28 to 507 of the family's 1533-position model. The record is from RNAcentral.
GACGAACGCUGGCGGCGUGCUUAACACAUGCAAGUCGAACGGUGAAGCGGGUGCUUGCACUCGUGGAUCAGUGGCGAACGGGUGAGUAACACGUGAGUAACCUGCCCAUCACUCUGGGAUAAGCACUGGAAACGGUGUCUAAUACUGGAUACGACCAACCCUUGCAUGGGGUGUUGGUGGAAAGAUUUAUCGGUGAUGGAUGGACUCGCGGCCUAUCAGCUUGUUGGCGGGGUAAUGGCCCACCAGGGCGACGACGGGUAGCCGGCCUGAGAGGGUGACCGGCCACACUGGGACUGAGACACGGCCCAGACUCCUACGGGAGGCAGCAGUGGGGAAUAUUGCACAAUGGGCGAAAGCCUGAUGCAGCGACGCCGCGUGAGGGAUGACGGCCUUCGGGUUGUAAACCUCUUUCAGCAGGGAAGAAGCGAAAGUGACGGUACCUGCAGAAGAAGCACCGGCUAACUACGUG